GACGAACCGUGCGAACGUUGUUCGGAAUCACUGGGCUUAAAGGGCGCGUAGGCGGCAGAUCAAGUCCGGGGUGAAAUCCUCCAGCUCAACUGGAGAAGUGCCUUGGAUACUGAAUUGCUCGAGGGAGGUAGGGGUCGAGGGAACUUCUGGUGGAGCGGUGAAAUGCGUUGAUAUCAGAAGGAACGCCGGUGGCGAAAGCGCUCGACUGGAUCUCUUCUGACGCUGAGGCGCGAAAGCUAGGGGAGCAAACGGG
Molecule: ribosomal RNA, 253 nt
Filed under: uncultured bacterium
Lineage: Bacteria
Description: partial 16S ribosomal RNA
Rfam family: Bacterial small subunit ribosomal RNA
Source: RNAcentral